GGGUUGUGAGGUUAAGCGACUAAGCGUACACGGUGGAUGCCCUGGCAGUCAGAGGCGAUGAAGGACGUGCUAAUCUGCGAUAAGCGUCGGUGAGGUGAUAUGAACCGUUAUAACCGGCGAUUUCCGAAUGGGGAAACCCAGUGUGUUUCGACACACUAUCAUUAACUGAAUCCAUAGGUUAAUGAGGCGAACCGGGGGAACUGAAACAUCUAAGUACCCCGAGGAAAAGAAAUCAACCGAGAUUCCCCCAGUAGCGGCGAGCGAACGGGGAGGAGCCCAGAGCCUGAAUCAGUGUGUGUGUUAGUGGAAGCGUCUGGAAAGGCGCGCGAUACAGGGUGACAGCCCCGUACACAAAAAUGCACAUAUUGUGAGCUCGAUGAGUAGGGCGGGACACGUGGUAUCCUGUCUGAAUAUGGGGGGACCAUCCUCCAAGGCUAAAUACUCCUGACUGACCGAUAGUGAACCAGUACCGUGAGGGAAAGGCGAAAAGAACCCCGGCGAGGGGAGUGAAAAAGAACCUGAAACCGUGUACGUACAAGCAGUGGGAGCCUCUUAAUGGGGUGACUGCGUACCUUUUGUAUAAUGGGUCAGCGACUUAUAUUCUGUAGCAAGGUUAACCGAAUAGGGGAGCCGAAGGGAAACCGAGUCUUAACUGGGCGUUAAGUUGCAGGGUAUAGACCCGAAACCCGGUGAUCUAGCCAUGGGCAGGUUGAAGGUUGGGUAACACUAACUGGAGGACCGAACCGACUAAUGUUGAAAAAUUAGCGGAUGACUUGUGGCUGGGGGUGAAAGGCCAAUCAAACCGGGAGAUAGCUGGUUCUCCCCGAAAGCUAUUUAGGUAGCGCCUCGUGAAUUCAUCUCCGGGGGUAGAGCACUGUUUCGGCAAGGGGGUCAUCCCGACUUACCAACCCGAUGCAAACUGCGAAUACCGGAGAAUGUUAUCACGGGAGACACACGGCGGGUGCUAACGUCCGUCGUGAAGAGGGAAACAACCCAGACCGCCAGCUAAGGUCCCAAAGUCAUGGUUAAGUGGGAAACGAUGUGGGAAGGCCCAGACAGCCAGGAUGUUGGCUUAGAAGCAGCCAUCAUUUAAAGAAAGCGUAAUAGCUCACUGGUCGAGUCGGCCUGCGCGGAAGAUGUAACGGGGCUAAACCAUGCACCGAAGCUGCGGCAGCGACGCUUAUGCGUUGUUGGGUAGGGGAGCGUUCUGUAAGCCUGUGAAGGUGGCCUGUGAGGGUUGCUGGAGGUAUCAGAAGUGCGAAUGCUGACAUAAGUAACGAUAAAGCGGGUGAAAAGCCCGCUCGCCGGAAGACCAAGGGUUCCUGUCCAACGUUAAUCGGGGCAGGGUGAGUCGACCCCUAAGGCGAGGCCGAAAGGCGUAGUCGAUGGGAAACAGGUUAAUAUUCCUGUACUUGGUGUUACUGCGAAGGGGGGACGGAG
Molecule: ribosomal RNA, 1440 nt
Filed under: Escherichia coli
Lineage: Bacteria; Pseudomonadati; Pseudomonadota; Gammaproteobacteria; Enterobacterales; Enterobacteriaceae
Description: partial 23S ribosomal RNA
Rfam family: Bacterial large subunit ribosomal RNA
Source: RNAcentral